Molecule: ribosomal RNA, 600 nt
Filed under: Streptomyces thermocarboxydus
Lineage: Bacteria; Bacillati; Actinomycetota; Actinomycetes; Kitasatosporales; Streptomycetaceae
Description: bacterial SSU rRNA
Rfam family: Bacterial small subunit ribosomal RNA
Source: RNAcentral
UCGGGGUGGAUUAGUGGCGAACGGGUGAGUAACACGUGGGCAAUCUGCCCUGCACUCUGGGACAAGCCCUGGAAACGGGGUCUAAUACCGGAUACUGAUCGCCUUGGGCAUCCUUGGUGAUCGAAAGCUCCGGCGGUGCAGGAUGAGCCCGCGGCCUAUCAGCUUGUUGGUGAGGUAAUGGCUCACCAAGGCGACGACGGGUAGCCGGCCUGAGAGGGCGACCGGCCACACUGGGACUGAGACACGGCCCAGACUCCUACGGGAGGCAGCAGUGGGGAAUAUUGCACAAUGGGCGAAAGCCUGAUGCAGCGACGCCGCGUGAGGGAUGACGGCCUUCGGGUUGUAAACCUCUUUCAGCAGGGAAGAAGCGAAAGUGACGGUACCUGCAGAAGAAGCGCCGGCUAACUACGUGCCAGCAGCCGCGGUAAUACGUAGGGCGCGAGCGUUGUCCGGAAUUAUUGGGCGUAAAGAGCUCGUAGGCGGCUUGUCGCGUCGGUUGUGAAAGCCCGGGGCUUAACCCCGGGUCUGCAGUCGAUACGGGCAGGCUAGAGUUCGGUAGGGGAGAUCGGAAUUCCUGGUGUAGCGGUGAAAUGCGCAGAU